UACGUAGGGUGCAAGCGUUGUCCGGAAUUAUUGGGCGUAAAGAGCUCGUAGGCGGUUUGUCGCGUCUGCUGUGAAAACUCGGGGCUUAACCCCGGGCCUGCAGUGGGUACGGGCAGACUAGAGUGCGGUAGGGGAGACUGGAAUUCCUGGUGUAGCGGUGAAAUGCGCAGAUAUCAGGAGGAACACCGGUGGUGUAAACGGCUUUCUGGACCAUAACUGACGCUGAGGCACGAAAGCGUGGGUAGCAAACAGG
Molecule: ribosomal RNA, 253 nt
Filed under: uncultured bacterium
Lineage: Bacteria
Description: partial 16S ribosomal RNA
Rfam family: Bacterial small subunit ribosomal RNA
Source: RNAcentral